RNAcentral lists this long non-coding RNA (799 nucleotides) under Anas platyrhynchos platyrhynchos (common mallard). RNAcentral's name for it is "lncRNA (ENSAPLG00000026196.1)". Lineage: Eukaryota; Metazoa; Chordata; Aves; Anseriformes; Anatidae. The record is from RNAcentral.
AAGAAAGAGCGGAGACGUUUUUGGGGAAUGAACGGAGGCGUUUUUGGGGGAAAGAAAGAGCGGAGAAUUUUGGGGAACGAGUGGAGAAUUUUGGGGAACGAGCGGAGAAGUUUUUGGGGAGAGAAAGAGAGGAGAAGUUGUUUGGGGAAAGAAAGAGCAGAGAAUUUUGGGGAAAGAGCGGAGAAAAUUUGGGGAAAGAAAGAGCGGAGACGUUUUUGGGGGACGAGCGGAAAAUUUGGGGGAAAGAAAGAGCGGAGACGUUUUUGGGGAACGAGCGGAAAAUUUGGGGAAAGAAAGAGCGGAGGCAUUUUUGGGGAAGGAAAGAGUGGAGACUUUUUGGGGAAAGAGCGGAGAAUUUUGGGGAACGAGCAGAAAAAAGUUUGGGGAAAAAAAGAGCGGAGGCGUUUUUUGGGGAAGAACGAGCGGAGAAUUUUGGGGAACGAGCGGAGAAGUUUUUGGGGAAAGAGCGGAGAAUUUUGGGGAAUGAGUGGAGACGUUUUUGGGGAAAGAGUGGAGGAGUUUGGGGCCAGGUGGAACCAGUUGGCUGGAGGAGUUGAGUGGAUUGGGUUGGCCAACUGGAAGAGGUCUACUGGAAGGGUCUUACUGGGAGGACCUAGCCAACUGGGAAGGUCUUACUGGGAGGACCUAGCCAACUGGAAGGGUCUAUCCAACUGGAAGGACCUAGCCUACUGGAAAGGUCUUACUGGGAGGACCUAGCCAACUGGAAGGGUCUUACUGGGAGGACCUAGCGUACUGGAAGGGUCUUGUCUACUGGAAGGGUCUAUCCAACUGGGAAGGU